AUAUAUAUUUUUUAUCCUAAAAUAAAUCAUAUCAUAAUUUAUCCUACAUUUUAUUGUAAUAAAAUAAAAAUGAAAGAAAUGAAUUAGAGUGGCUUAAAGAUAAAAAAAAGAGCGAUACUAACUACCUACGAUGCUCGAACACUCUACUAUACUGUGUACUCGCUAAUAUGGUUGNAAAUGAAUUAGAGUGGCUUAAAGAUAAAAAAAAGAGCGAUACUAACUACCUACGAUGCUCGAACACUCUACUAUACUGUGUACUCGCUAAUAUGGUUGAUUUACAAUAAGUGUCCUCACUCGGAUAUAGAGAUUUUAAUUCUCAGUUAAUUUUUUGUAAUACUCGUUUGUUCCUUUUAUCUUUAGAACCAUUGCUCUAUAAAAUACACCUAAAUAAAAUUUUUAUACUUUAUUUCAGCCAAUUAGAAAUUUUUAAUAUAAAAAUAUAAAAAUAAUUUAUAAUAAAAAUUUGGGUAAAUUGUAUUGUUACCCCCUGAACUUUUGGCGAGUUUCACUUAACCCCCCAGACUCCUAAAAUAGACAUCUAACACCCUAAACUCUAAUAUUUCAUUCGUUUUACCCCUUCCGUCAGUUUUCGGUUAACGGAGCUUGACGGAAAACUGACGGAAGGGGUAACAUGAACGAAAUAUUAGAGUUUAGGGGGUUAGAUGUCCAUUUUAGAAGUUCGAGGGGUAAAAUGAAACUUCACCAAAAGUUCAGGGGGUGACAAUGCAAUUUACCCUAUAUAUAUAUAGAGUUUGACUAGGCUACUAUCGGCAGUAAACUGCUCGGUUUACUACCGAUUUGUUUUUUAUGAUAGAGCUUCCAAAUCGACGAUCGGCACCGUUGAACAUAAUCUAAACCAUUUAAAUUAUCUAGAAAUCAAAUUUCAUGAUUUUUUGGCAUCACUAACUGAACGAUUAAAGGGUCACAAAAUCUAUAAUUUUAAUGGCCGAUAUGGUGCGUUUGCUCGUUUAAUGAUAUAGAAGAGUUCAAAUCAACUAAAUUUUUGUUAAAAAAUUCUUUAAACUAUUUAAAAUAAGAUCUAGACUCUAUAUCUCAAAUAUAAAAAUUGUAUCAUCACUUUUUGAAGGAUAUUCAUUUCCAGCCAUUCAUUUUUUUGUUCACUUGAUGGACAAGAGAACAAUAUCGAAAAUGUAUGAAAUUUAAUUUUCAGAUAGUUUAAAUAGUUUAGAUCAUGUUUAACGUUGCCGAUCAUCAAUUUGGAAGCUCUAUCAUCGAAAACAAGUCGGAAGUAAACUGAGCCGUUUACUACCGAUAGUAUUCUAGCAAAACUAUAUAUAUAUAUAUAUAUAUAUAUAUAUAUAUAUGCUGGUAUACUAUCGAUAGUACAGAGGCCUCCGUGCUACCAAGUUAUUUUCAAUGAUGCGGUUUCCAAAUCGAUGAUCGGUUCCGUUAGACUUAAUCUACACUAUUGAAAGUAUUUGGAAACUAAAUUUCAUAAUUUUUCGGCAUCAUUUACCUAUCAAACGAGUAGUCUAAAAAUGAACGGCUGAAAAUAAAAAUCUCAUAAAAAAUGAUGAUAAAAGACUUAAAUUUAAAAUCAGAGGUACUAAUCUUACUCUAAAUAGCGAAAAAAAAUUUCUAUAAAAAUUUCAUCAGAUUUGGAUUGUUUUACACCGUUAAAUUCACAAACACAUCACAUCUAUCAUUAAAAUUGUCAAUUUUGAGACAUUUUGAUCACUAGCGCCAAAUGAUGCCGAAAAGUUAUAAAAUUUAAUUUUCAAAUACUUUUAAUAGUAUAGAUCAAGUCUAACGAAACCGAUUGUAGAUUUGAAAACCGCAUCAUUGAAAACAACUGGGUAGUAUGGAGGCCUCCGUGCUACCUAUAGUAUACCAAUCU
Molecule: long non-coding RNA, 1858 nt
Filed under: Ananas comosus (pineapple)
Lineage: Eukaryota; Viridiplantae; Streptophyta; Magnoliopsida; Poales; Bromeliaceae
Description: long non-coding RNA (ACOM_LNC004981)
Source: RNAcentral